AUUGAACGCUGGCGGCAGGCCUAACACAUGCAAGUCGAGCGGAUGAAGGGAGCUUGCUCCUGGAUUCAGCGGCGGACGGGUGAGUAAUGCCUAGGAAUCUGCCUGGUAGUGGGGGAUAACGUCCGGAAACGGGCGCUAAUACCGCAUACGUCCUGAGGGAGAAAGUGGGGGAUCUUCGGACCUCACGCUAUCAGAUGAGCCUAGGUCGGAUUAGCUAGUUGGUGGGGUAAAGGCCUACCAAGGCGACGAUCCGUAACUGGUCUGAGAGGAUGAUCAGUCACACUGGAACUGAGUCACGGUCCAGACCCCUACGGGAGGCAGCAGUGGGGAAUAUUGGACAAUGGGCGAAAGCCUGAUCCAGCCAUGCCGCGUGUGUGAAGAAGGUCUUCGGAUUGUAAAGCACUUUAAGUUGGGAGGAAGGGCAGUAAGUUAAUACCUUGCUGUUUUGACGUUACCAACAGAAUAAGCACCGGCUAACUUCGUG
This 484-nucleotide ribosomal RNA is filed under the name uncultured bacterium. RNAcentral describes it as "partial 16S ribosomal RNA". It matches the Rfam family "Bacterial small subunit ribosomal RNA", at positions 30 to 507 of the family's 1533-position model. The record is from RNAcentral.